UCCUCCUCUUCCCCCCUCCUCCCUUUCACACUCUUCUUUUUCUCCCUUCCCUCCACCUCUCUCUCCUAUCUCCUCCUCUCUUCCUUGUUCUCGUCCCCUGGAGCCUCCUCCAGCACCACUGACUGGGCGCUGGAGUUGCAGGAUAUCGGAGGAUGAGAACAAACUCUUCCUUCGGAGGCGGCCUCUUCUUCCCAUCCAAGUUUUUCUGUUGAGGGACCUCCUGACAAACGUACAGGCUCAGUCUAGUCUAUCAUGCAGGAGGUCCCUUCUUAGCAUUUUUUACUAAUCAUUGUGUGAGUUUCUCUCCCCAGAAGCCUCCUGCCAGCCAACCUUCAGGGAAGAAGGUUCGCAAACCUUCCAUUCCAUUAAAUUUACCCCGUUUUAUAUUAAACAUUUUAGCUACGUGUGAUUUUCUGGAUGUGAUCUGGUCAGAUUUUAUUUGAAUGAAUCUCUUGUGAUUAUGUCUGAUCAGAUCUAUUCCAACUUUAUUUGAAUGAAUUUUCUUCGAUUGUAUUUUGUGUGAUUCUUUGAGCUCGGUUCUUGCCGGUGGGACUCUGGUCAGGGUGCCUGUCAGAGGUGUGGGCGGAUCUGGGGGGAUCUUGGGAAACCUCCUGUGGUCCCCCUCCUCUUACAGUGAAGCUCCGCUCUGUCAGAAGGUGAACAGGAUGCAGACGGCAUGUCACAGAGAAGCGACAUGUGUGUGUCUGUAUCCCACCCUGGACCCACAGUGGAGUCCACAGUGACAAGAUCACAGUUCAGGAGAGUCACACCGGGAUUAAAAGGGGUGGUUAAAUGUGUUAUUUAAGAUAGUAAAUGUAGUGUGAGGGUGAAGCUCUCGCUGGCAGAGGGAAGUUUCCAGAAGAACAGGCACGUAAGGAUCCCUGUGAAUGCUGCUGCAUGAAAAGACCGAUGAUCCCGGGACCCAAGACCAAGACAAGGACGACCCCAAAAGGCGACUUGAAGAUGAGUGACCGAGCCCCAACGGAGAUGAAGCCAGAGGCGACGACCAGCCGGUGAGGAGAAGAAAGAACAACUUUAUCAAGACUUUACUGGAUGCACCGGCUUGUCUGGAUCUGGAGCUGCAUGUUUCCGAUCUGCUGUUAUCGGCCUCAGCAACCUCCAAACUAUUCAUGUUCUUACCAUCCACUCUACCCUCAAUGCAAACAGAGGUUUCUUUUUAUAACUUCCCAGAUGGAGGUUUUUUUCCUCACCCCAAAUGGAGGUUUUUUUAAAACUUCCCAACAACAGGAAGUUUUUUUCCUUCACACUGGUACCACGUGCUUGAUCUGAUCUCACUGCAAAAAGAGAGAUCUUCAAAUAAAAACAAAACAACACAAUAGAACUGUAUGUUUGUUUAAAAAUGUAACCUAAUACACUCUUCCUUUUAGACUUAUUAUUGGAGAGCAUGUUUUAUGGCUAGCAAACUUCAUUCAUCUAAAAAACAUGGUUUCAAACCACUGGUUUCUCACAAACACCUGGACUUCAUCUUAAAACUGCACAGCAUUUGAACCAGGCGUAAACUAACCGUGACAUCACCCGUUGGUUUCAACGCCGAGAAAAUGAAGCCCGGAUUUUGCUACUUCCUGGUCGCCGUUUUGGAUUUUUUGGAGCCAGUGACGUAAAAAGCGUCAUCAAACAGACUGGACCGGAGAGCAACUAGCGGCAGGAUUGGCUGAGGACUCUCUUAUCCCGCCCACAUUUUACCACAGAGGCUUCUGUUGCUGUCCAUCAAGUAUAGCCACGCCCCCUGGCUCCACCAACUUUAACAAUUUAUUUAAAAUUCAGUAUUGAUUUAUUUAAUGAUCUCUCAUUUUGACCAUGAAAACUAAUUGGAAAAAAAUCCUGAGCUGUAGAAAAUCAGUCUAUCAAAUUUUAUUUUUUCCAAAAAUGAAUUGGGGUUUAUGGAGAAAAAGCUUUUUGGAGACAGCCCUAGCGGACGGCGUGAUAUUGCAAGUUUUUGACACUUCCGGGUUGGCUUCAAUUCUGGAGCCAGAUGCUACAUCCACUAUAUAUACAGUCUAUGAUUUGAACAUACUGAUGGCUGUUCAAAUUCUUGGAGUAAAUGCACGAGACAGUAAAUUUGCUAAAUACACAAAUCCUGCAUGAUUAGUAUUAACAGAAUGUACUAAUUUGCACUAAAAACAAAAAAACUAUACUACAAAUUGUGCAGGGUUUCUAUUAUAGUAUUUUGGAUAUGUCCCACAAUGUAUUAUUAUUAUUAUUAUUAUUAUUAUUAUUAUCAUCAUCUGCUGUAAGACUUUAUAACAUCAGCAUCAUUGGCUGAUGUAAACCAGACUGAUAUCAUAUCAAACCAAAAAAAAAUUGCACAGCAUUCUUGCACAGUGGCAUUUUUGCACUUCUGAAUUUAUUUUCAAGUAUUUAUUAGUUUUUAUUUUUCGUCCUUGUACAUAUUGUAAUUACUAUGUUUAUUUCCUGGUUUAAAUAUGCUUGCUGCUGUAAAAAUGUGAAUUUCCCCUGACAUGCUGAAGCUCCAUUGUAUUCCCAGGGUAUAUAAGAGGUCAUUUCAUGUCAUAAGCAGCACUAUACAUGUAAAGGCCUAGAGUGGUUUCCUGCUGACAUUCAAGCUGUAGCACAACUCAGAAGCCAACAGCCAGACCAGGAUGAGCACAAACGUGAGGAAAAAAAAACACCCUUUUCAAAGUCUGCACGCUGACAAUAACUGCAGACCGGAGUGGAAGACCACCUUCAACACCCACCCCACCCACUGUUUCUCAGCCGAAUGACACCAUGUAAAGCUUCAAAUGUUGUGAAAUAAUUGCUGUUCCCCUGUCAGGUUAUGUGGGGGAGUAAAACACUUGUUAGUCUGUUGUGGAAGUCUUGGAGGAGAUUGAAGUGUGUUUAGAUGAGAGCGCCACACUUAAGCUGUAAGUUUUUUGGUAGGAGAUGAACUUUGCUCUGCUUGAUUGAGACCUCAUGAACAGAAACAAGGUUUUAAAAUAAAAACACCUCCCAAAGCA
This is a long non-coding RNA of Acanthochromis polyacanthus (spiny chromis), 2978 nucleotides long. RefSeq lists it as uncharacterized. The transcript is spliced from 3 exons. The record is from RefSeq and is a predicted model, not a curated record. NCBI's taxonomy places the organism in Eukaryota, Metazoa, Chordata, Actinopteri, Pomacentridae.